GUGUCAGCAGCCGCGGUAAUACAGAGGUCCCGAGCGUUGUUCGGAUUCACUGGGCGUAAAGGGUGCGUAGGUGGUUGAGCAAGUCUGAUGUGAAAGCCCCGGGCCCAACCCGGGAAUGGCAUCGGAAACUGCCCGGCUAGGAGGGUUGGAGGGGGGACUGGAAUUCCCGGUGUAGCAGUGAAAUGCGUAGAUAUCGGGAGGAACGCCAGUGGCGAAGGCGAGUCCCUGGACAACACCUGACACUGAGGCACGAAAGCUUGGGGAGCAAACAGGAUUAGAUACCCCUGUAGUCC
This 293-nucleotide ribosomal RNA is filed under the name uncultured bacterium. RNAcentral's name for it is "partial 16S ribosomal RNA". It matches the Rfam family "Bacterial small subunit ribosomal RNA", at positions 505 to 796 of the family's 1533-position model. The record is from RNAcentral.